CCAACGUGGAUGCCCCGGGAGGUCACCCUCCCCGGGCUUUGUCCAGGUGGCGUAUGGGAGCAAAGGGCUCUGCCCCAUGAUGGACAGUCCCUUUCCACAACGUUGGAGAGAAAGUCGGGCCUUGAGUCUGCGCCUGCAUAUUCCUACAACUUCUCAGAGUCCUGUGGACAGUGACUGAGGAGACAAACCAUGCAGGAAACGGCU
This is a small nucleolar RNA of Pipistrellus kuhlii (Kuhl's pipistrelle), 204 nucleotides long. RefSeq annotates it as small nucleolar RNA SNORA73 family. NCBI's taxonomy places the organism in Eukaryota, Metazoa, Chordata, Mammalia, Chiroptera, Vespertilionidae. The record is from RefSeq and is a predicted model, not a curated record. The transcript has a single exon.